RNAcentral lists this ribosomal RNA (252 nucleotides) under uncultured bacterium. RNAcentral describes it as "partial 16S ribosomal RNA". It matches the Rfam family "Bacterial small subunit ribosomal RNA", at positions 524 to 776 of the family's 1533-position model. The record is from RNAcentral.
UACGGAGGGUCCAAGCGUUAUCCGGAAUCACUGGGUUUAAAGGGUGCGUAGGUGGUUUGUUAAGUCAGUGGUGAAAUCUUGCAGCUCAACUGUAAAACUGCCAUUGAUACUGACAAACUUGAAUUUAAUCGAUGUGGGCGGAAUAAGUCAUGUAGCGGUGAAAUGCGUAGAUAUGACUUAGAACACCGAUUGCGAAGGCAGCUCACAAGGUUAGAUUGACACUGAGGCACGAAAGCGUGGGUAGCGAACAGG